Molecule: ribosomal RNA, 515 nt
Filed under: uncultured bacterium
Lineage: Bacteria
Description: partial 16S ribosomal RNA
Rfam family: Bacterial small subunit ribosomal RNA
Source: RNAcentral
GAUGAACGCUGGCGGCGCGCCUAAUACAUGCAAGUCGAGCGAAUGGAUUAAGAGCUUGCUCUUAUGAAGUUAGCGGCGGACGGGUGAGUAACACGUGGGUAACCUGCCCAUAAGACUGGGAUAACUCCGGGAAACCGGGGCUAAUACCGGAUAACAUUUUGAACCGCAUGGUUCGAAAUUGAAAGGCGGCUUCGGCUGUCACUUAUGGAUGGACCCGCGUCGCAUUAGCUAGUUGGUGAGGUAACGGCUCACCAAGGCAACGAUGCGUAGCCGAUCUGAGAGGGUGAUCGGCCACACUGGGACUGAGACACGGCCCAGACUCCUACGGGAGGCAGCAGUAGGGAAUCGUCCGCAAUGGACGAAAGUCUGACGGAGCAACGCCGCGUGAGUGAUGAAGGCUUUCGGGUCGUAAAACUCUGUUGUUAGGGAAGAACAAGUGCUAGUUGAAUAAGCUGGCACCUUGACGGUACCUAACCAGAAAGCCACGGCUAACUACGUGCCAGCCGCCGCCGUAA